Molecule: ribosomal RNA, 344 nt
Filed under: uncultured bacterium
Lineage: Bacteria
Description: partial 16S ribosomal RNA
Rfam family: Bacterial small subunit ribosomal RNA
Source: RNAcentral
CCUACGGGGGGCUGCAGUGAGGAAUAGUGGUCAAUGGACACAAGUCUGAACCAGCCAUGCCGCGUGCAGGAAGACGGCUCUAUGAGUUGUAAACUGCUUUUGUACGAGGGUAAACGCAGAUACGUGUAUCUGUCUGAAAGGAUCGUACGAAUAAGGAUCGGCUCACGCCGUGCCAGCAGCCGCGGUAAUACGGAGGCUUCAAGCGUUCUCCGGAUUGAUUGGGUUUAAAGGGUGCGUAGGCGGUCGGAGAAGUUAGAGGUGAAAUCCCGUGGCUCCACGUCGGAAUUGCCUCUGAUACUGUUCGGCUCGAGCGUAGUUGCGGUAGGCGGACUGUCUGGUGUAGC